This 492-nucleotide ribosomal RNA is filed under the name uncultured bacterium. Its description in RNAcentral is "partial 16S ribosomal RNA". It matches the Rfam family "Bacterial small subunit ribosomal RNA", at positions 29 to 507 of the family's 1533-position model. The record is from RNAcentral.
AGUGAAUGCUGGCGGUAGGCCUAACACAUGCAAGUCGAACGGCAGCACAGUAAGAGCUUGCUCUUACGGGUGGCGAGUGGCGGACGGGUGAGGAAUACAUCGGAAUCUACUUUUUCGUGGGGGAUAACGUAGGGAAACUUACGCUAAUACAGCAUACGACCUACGGGUGAAAGCAGGGGAUCUUCGGACCUUGCGCGAUUGAAUGAGCCGAUGUCGGAUUAGCUAGUUGGCGGGGUAAAGGCCCACCAAGGCGACGAUCCGUAGCUGGUCUGAGAGGAUGAUCAGCCACACUGGAACUGAGACACGGUCCAGACUCCUACGGGAGGCAGCAGUGGGGAAUAUUGGACAAUGGGCGCAAGCCUGAUCCAGCCAUACCGCGUGGGUGAAGAAGGCCUUCGGGUUGUAAAGCCCUUUUGUUGGGAAAGAAAAGCAGCAGGUUAAUACCCCGCUGUUCUGACGGUACCCAAAGAAUAAGCACCGGCUAACUUCGUG